This 254-nucleotide ribosomal RNA is filed under the name uncultured bacterium. Its description in RNAcentral is "partial 16S ribosomal RNA". It matches the Rfam family "Bacterial small subunit ribosomal RNA", at positions 524 to 777 of the family's 1533-position model. The record is from RNAcentral.
UACGUAGGGUGCGAGCGUUGUCCGGAUUUACUGGGCGUAAAGAGCGCGCAGGCGGUCGUUCAAGUCGCGUGUGAAAGCCCCCGGCUCAACUGGGGAGGGUCACGCGAUACUGAUCGACUCGAAGGCAGGAGAGGGUAGUGGAAUUCCCGGUGUAGUGGUGAAAUGCGUAGAUAUCGGGAGGAACACCAGUGGCGAAGGCGACUCACUGGCCCGAUACUGACGCUGAGGCGCGAAAGCGUGGGGAGCAAACAGGG